Long non-coding RNA from Sander lucioperca (pikeperch), 635 nucleotides. RefSeq lists it as uncharacterized. NCBI's taxonomy places the organism in Eukaryota, Metazoa, Chordata, Actinopteri, Perciformes, Percidae. The transcript has 4 exons. The record is from RefSeq and is a predicted model, not a curated record.
UGGAAACAUCCGAGGAGCACGUGAAUGCAGCAGAAGCCUUGAGGAGUCGCUCGAACUGAAGGUAGCUUGAGGAGGAUUCUGACAUGUAAAUUGUUUAUAAGCCUCUCAAAACACUCCUGCGACUGAAUCCACUUAUUGUCUGUUAGCACGCAAAAGUAUCCGGACCCCCUUAAUACACCCACGGAUGUAUGACUGCAACUGAAAUGUAGUUUGCAAAGAUAAGGGCUAGUAUGGAGAAAAAGAGAAGAAAUGGAGACGGACUGGUACCUGGAGGUGGCUGAGCGCGGUCCACACUGCAGGAAGUAGGGAGACGAAACUGAAUCCCUGCAAGGAGCAAACACCAGUUAGAAAGAACAAAUGCAGCCAAUGAGAAGAAAAGUUUGCAGCCUUCUUGGAAAUGUUGUGGCAGGGAAGUUGGAUCAAGAAUAGGACUGUGAUACUCCUCCUGGUGUUUGGAAGACAGUGGGAGAAGGGUUGGAGGGAGAGGCUUUUGUAGAGACUACUCAGGAGGAGUGAUGUUCUGCCAGUGCUGCCUCAAUUCUCACUCAGUCCCUCCAGGAUUUUGCAGCCCAAAAUGCCUGAUUUUGCGGGAGCGUUUGUAAAAAAUUGCAAUAAAAGUUGCAAUGUCUUUUGUA